UAGCCAAUGGUGACUGGAGUUCAGACGUGUGCUCUUCCGAUCUGCUGAAGUGAAACAUCUCAGUAAGCGGAGGAAAAGAAAGAGAAAUCGAUUCCGUAAGUAGUGGCGAGCGAAAGCGGAUGGAGCCCAAACCGAAGGUAUUCCUUCGGGGUUGUAGGACCACGUCAUAUUCGACCAUACUGGAUAGUAGAACAGCCUGGAAAGGCUGGCCGGAGAAGGUGAAAGCCCUGUAGACGAAAUCCAGAGUGGGAAUUAGUGGUAUCCUGAGUAAUACAUCACACGUGGAACGAUGUAUGAACCCGCGCGGACCACCGCGCAAGGCUAAAUACUAGUUGGCGACCGAUAGUGAACAAGUACCGCGAGGGAAAGGUGAAAAGAACCGCUGUGAGCGGAGUGAAAUAGAACCUGAAACCGUAUGUCUACAAAGUGUCAGAGCAGAGCAAUCUGCGAUGGCGUGCCUUUUGUUUAAUGAGUCUGCGAGUCAGUGUUUGUGGCAAGACUAAGGGCUUCCGGCCCGGAGUCGCAGCGAAAGCAAGUCCGAACAGGGCGCAAUAAGUCGCAGGUACUGGACCCGAAGCGGAGGUGACCUACCCUUGGCCAGGUUGAAGCAUGGGUAAAACCAUGUGGAGGACCGAACAGGUGAACGUUGAAAAGUUCUCUGAUGAGCUGAGGGUAGGAGUGAAAGGCUAAUCAAACCCCGUGAUAGCUGGUUCUCUUCGAAAUGCAUUUAGGUGCAGCGUCACGUGCUGAUGCGCGGGGGUAGAGCACUGACAAGGCUAGGGGGCACACCCGCUUACCAAACCUUAUCAAACUCCGAAUACCGUGCAAUGGAACGUGGCAGUGAGACAGUGGGGGAUAAGCUUCAUUGUCGAGAGGGAAACAACCCAGACCAGCAGCUAAGGUGCCUAAAUAACGCUCAGUGGAAAGGAUGUGGGAUUACACAGACAGUGAGGAUGUUGGCUUAGAAGCAGCCACCAUUUAAAAAAUGCGUAAUAGCUUACUCAUCGAGUGAUCCUGCGCCGAAAAUGAUUGGCGAUCAAGCGUUAUACCGAAGCUCUGGACUUUGCCGCAAGGCAGAGUGGUAGAAGAGCGUUGCAUGCGCGUCGAAGGGCGAUGGCGACUGACCCUGGAGCACAUGCAAGUGAGUAUGCAGACAUGAGUAACGUUAAGCCGGGUGAAAUCCCCGGCCGCCGUAAACCCGAGGUUUCCAGGGCAACGUGUUUCGUCCCUGGGUUAGCCGGGACCUAAGCCGAGGCCGAGAGGCGUAGGCGAUGGACAUCAGGUUAAUAAUCCUGAGCUCGCAACCCUUAAACUGGGGGGACGCAUGAGAAAAGAUGACUAGGUUAUUGAAUUCCGAGUUGAGUCCACGGACUCAGCGCAUCAUUGGAUCGAGUGCCAAGAAAAGCCCCAGCGUAUGCUAAGCGACCCGUACCGCAAACCGACACAGGUGGGUGGGUAGAAUAUACCAAGGCGUAAGAGUGAAACCUGGUUAAGGAACUCGGCAAAUUAGCCCCGUAACUUCGGAAGAAGGGGUGCCUGCAGCGAUGCAGGCCGCAGAGAAAUGGCCCAACCGACUGUUUAUCAAAAACACAGCACUCUGCAAAGACGCAAGUCGAAGUAUAGGGUGUGACACGUGACCAAUGCCGAAAGAUUAAGGCAAGGGGUUAGCCGCAAGGCGAAGCUCUAAACCCAAGUCCCGGUGAAUGUCGGCCGUAACAAUAACGGUCCUAAGGUAGCGAAAUUCCUUGUCGGGUAAGUUCC
This 1761-nucleotide ribosomal RNA is filed under the name human gut metagenome. RNAcentral describes it as "bacterial LSU rRNA". It matches the Rfam family "Bacterial large subunit ribosomal RNA", at positions 144 to 1984 of the family's 2925-position model. The record is from RNAcentral.